AGUGAACGCUGGCGGUAGGCCUAACACAUGCAAGUCGAACGGCAGCACAGUAAGAGCUUGCUCUUACGGGUGGCGAGUGGCGGACGGGUGAGGAAUACAUCGGAAUCUACUUUUUCGUGGGGGAUAACGUAGGGAAACUUACGCUAAUACCGCAUACGACCUACGGGUGAAAGCAGGGGAUCUUCGGACCUUGCGCGAUUGAAUGAGCCGAUGUCGGAUUAGCUAGUUGGCGGGGUAAAGGCCCACCAAGGCGACGAUCCGUAGCUGGUCUGAGAGGAUGAUCAGCCACACUGGAACUGAGACACGGUCCAGACUCCUACGGGAGGCAGCAGUGGGGAAUAUUGGACAAUGGGCGCAAGCCUGAUCCAGCCAUGCCGCGUGGGUGAAGAAGGCCUUCGGGUUGUAAAGCCCUUUUGUUGGGAAAGAAAAGCAGCAGGUUAAUACCCCGCUGUUCCGACGGUACCCAAAGAAUAAGCACCGGCUAACUUCGUG
RNAcentral lists this ribosomal RNA (492 nucleotides) under uncultured bacterium. Its description in RNAcentral is "partial 16S ribosomal RNA". It matches the Rfam family "Bacterial small subunit ribosomal RNA", at positions 29 to 507 of the family's 1533-position model. The record is from RNAcentral.